RNAcentral lists this ribosomal RNA (254 nucleotides) under uncultured bacterium. Its description in RNAcentral is "partial 16S ribosomal RNA". It matches the Rfam family "Bacterial small subunit ribosomal RNA", at positions 524 to 776 of the family's 1533-position model. The record is from RNAcentral.
UACGGAGGGUGCAAGCGUUAUCCGGAUUUACUGGGUUUAAAGGGUGCGCAGGCGGAUAUGUAAGUCAGUGGUGAAAAUCUCCGGGCUUAACCCGGAAAUUGCCGUUGAUACUAUAUAUCUUGAAUGCUGUGGAGGUAAGCAGAAUAUGUCAUGUAGCGGUGAAAUGCUUAGAUAUGACAUAGAAUACCUAUUGCGAAGGCAGCUUACUACGCAGAUAUUGACGCUCAUGCACGAAAGCGUGGGGAUCAAACAGG